UUCCGGUUGAUCCCGCCGGAGGUCACUGCUAUCGGGGUUCGAUUAAGCCAUGCGAGUCGAGAGGGUUCGGCCCUCGGCGUACUGCUCAGUAACACGUGGAUAACCUGCCCUAAGGAAGGGGAUACUCCCGGGAAACUGGGGAUAAUACCCUAUAGGUUACAGAUGCUGGAAUGCUCUGUACCCGAAAGUUCCGGCGCCUUAGGAUGGAUCUGCGGCCGAUUAGGUUGUUGUCGGGGUAACGGCCCAACAAGCCAGUAAUCGGUACGGGUUGUGGGAGCAAGAGCCCGGAGUUGGAUUCUGAGACACGAAUCCAGGCCCUACGGGGCGCAGCAGGCGCGAAAACUUUACAAUGCGGGCAACCGUGAUAAGGGAACCUCGAGUGCCUGUAUAUGCAGGCUGUCUGGGUGUCUGAAACACACCUAAAGAAAGGGCCGGGCAAGACCGGUGCCAGCCGCCGCGGUAAUACCGGCGGCUCGAGUGGUGGCCACUUUUAUUGGGCUUAAAGCGUUCGUAGCUGGGUUAUUAAGUCCCUUGGGAAAUCCGACGGCUUAACCGUCGGGCGUCUAAGGGAUACUGGUAAUCUUGGAACCGGGAGAGGUGAGGGGUACUUCGGGGGUAGGAGUGAAAUCCUGUAAUCCUCGAGGGACCACCUGUGGCGAAGGCGCCUCACCAGAACGGCUUCGACAGUGAGGGACGAAAGCUGGGGGAGCAAACCGGAUUAGAUACCCGGGUAGUCCCAGCCGUAAACGAUGUGCGUUAGGUGUAUCGGUGACCACGAGUCACCGAGGUGCCGAAGGGAAACCGUGAAACGUACCGCCUGGGAAGUACGGUCGCAAGGCUGAAACUUAAAGGAAUUGGCGGG
Molecule: ribosomal RNA, 862 nt
Filed under: uncultured Methanoculleus sp.
Lineage: Archaea; Methanobacteriati; Methanobacteriota; Methanomicrobia; Methanomicrobiales; Methanomicrobiaceae
Description: bacterial SSU rRNA
Rfam family: Archaeal small subunit ribosomal RNA
Source: RNAcentral